This 253-nucleotide ribosomal RNA is filed under the name uncultured bacterium. RNAcentral describes it as "partial 16S ribosomal RNA". It matches the Rfam family "Bacterial small subunit ribosomal RNA", at positions 524 to 776 of the family's 1533-position model. The record is from RNAcentral.
UACAGAGGUCUCAAGCGUUGUUCGGAUUCAUUGGGCGUAAAGGGUGUGUAGGUGGCGCGCUAAGUCGGGUGUGAAAUUUCGGAGCUUAACUGCGAAACUGCAUUCGAUACUGGCGUGCUUGAGGACUGGAGAGGAGACUGGAAUUCAUGGUGUAGCAGUGAAAUGCGUAGAGAUCAUGAGGAAGACCAGUGGCGAAGGCGGGUCUCUGGACAGUCCCUGACACUGAGACACGAAGGCCAGGGGAGCAAACGGG